Balaenoptera musculus (blue whale) is the source of this 472-nucleotide long non-coding RNA. RefSeq lists it as uncharacterized. NCBI's taxonomy places the organism in Eukaryota, Metazoa, Chordata, Mammalia, Artiodactyla, Balaenopteridae. The record is from RefSeq and is a predicted model, not a curated record. The transcript has 3 exons.
ACCUCCAGCCGCGAUGACCAGGUCCAGGUCCCCGCAAGCACGGGUCCUGCCUUUCACGUGGCCGGAAGCCAUGCCCUGCGUCUGGUGCCGGAGUUGGAGGAGGUGGAGAAAAUGAAGCCCCCGCUGGGCUGCGCUCAGUCUGGAGCAGAUGACCACCCCCUCAGAAGAGGCUGGAAAGAGGUUCUCUGUAAAACUUCCAGAGUGUCUGGAUGAAGGUGGAGUGUUAGGAGGAAGCAGAACCAACGUGUGAUUUGGCAAGACUUAGGAGGGAGCCAAAGACAGAGGGUGAAGGAGGACCCACAAUAGAACCACUGUUGCCCGUGUCUACCCACCCAUCCACUGGCCGUUCACCCAACGCCCAAUCACCGCCAGGCGCCGUGCCACUCUGGGCACGUCUGCCUAUCAAGAGGUGGUAAAACCAACAGGAUUUUCUAAGGAUUGGGUAGAAUGAAAGAGGAGCCGAAGUUGACCC